AAGAGACGUUGCCCUUGGGGUAUACCUCCCACCCUUUGUUUAUUAUACCUUUGUUGCUUUGGCGGGCCCGUCCUCGGACCACCGGCUUCUGCUGGUCAGUGCCCGCCAGAGGACCUAAAACUCUGUUUGUUAAUAUUGUCUGAGUACUAUAUAAUAGUUA
Molecule: unclassified non-coding RNA, 160 nt
Filed under: soil metagenome
Description: partial internal transcribed spacer 1
Source: RNAcentral